This is a long non-coding RNA of Gasterosteus aculeatus aculeatus (three-spined stickleback), 518 nucleotides long. The record is from Ensembl. NCBI's taxonomy places the organism in Eukaryota, Metazoa, Chordata, Actinopteri, Perciformes, Gasterosteidae.
GUGACUGAACUGGUAUGAAUGCGCGCGGCGCGGAAGGGAAACCGGUGGCGCGUGAACCUCGGGCAACGGGGGCGUCGUCUCGGCGCUUCCACGGGGGCGCAUAAUCAAAGCGGUCAGCUUUUCAACUUUGCGGGGGAGUUUUGGAGCCAAUCCCAGCUGGCAUCAGGCAAGAGACGGGGUAAAUCCUGGAACGGUCAUCACUCAAUUGCACUGCGGACUUAGAACCAUCCUGCUGUCUUGGAGCGUGGGAGGGAACCCACGCAGGCUCGGGGGAGAACACGCAGACCCCACACAGCCGCUGGGCGGGUUCGAGCCCAGAACCUUUUGCUUUGCCAAAGUUGUUCAAGUACGUGGAGCAAGACCAGAGGAACCUGCACCAGUAACUGAAGACCUCAGUAACCUUAUGGAGGAAAAAGAAGCAGACGAUGAGAAAGUCCUUACAGCUGUUCCGGGUCAAGCAGCGCCGUCUCCUGAUGAGGAAAACAUGUUUAUUGCCAAAGAACCAGAACCAAUUUCCA